UUACUUUGGACUCCCGAUGAACGCACGUGUCCACCACUAGUAUGAGAAACAAGCAAUAAGUAGUAGUACAACAGCAGAUAAUGACUAUAACCAGACUACCACCAAAUAAUAAUAUCCUCAAUCUACCCAAAACAACAGACAUCAUCAAAACUCCAACAACAAAAAACCACAAGCAUAGCACGACGACUGUUAGUACAGACAACAAAAACAAAUUAAAACACACCUUCCUACUACCCUUCUACCCUAACAUGUGUUCUCCACACCUUCCCAUCUAGGGCAUGUCCUCGAUAAGCUGUAAUUGCUCUAUAUCCUGUCGAAUCACCUCCCUCCAAAAGUCCAAAAACCAAUAAUGCCCAUCCCUCCAAAAGAAAAUCCAAUAGUAAUUUGACUCAGCUAUUUCCAGAAUUAGUGUUUCUAUAGCUAUGUCCAUGUUCAUCUUGUUUGAUUCUAAUUCUCUGCUAUGUCACACAACUCUAAUUCUGAGAUAACAAACUUACUUCGUAUUGCUACCACACGCAGAUCGGAAUCAAUAAAGAAGUAUGCUACUUCGGUAAACUUGGUGGUGGCGGAGAAAGUAUUUGAGCUCUACAUCCUGAUGGAAGAAUAGUUGCUCUAUCAGUAGAGGUAUGUUUGACUACUGGAAAUACUUCUUCUUUGCUCCAUUGGGUCUUUGAUGUGAGGGAACUUACUAGUAGUUUCAAUGCUUCUUUCAUCCACCUGUUAGGGCAAAGUUUUCUUGUUUUGCACAUAUUCAUCUGAAAUUGAAUUUUGGACAAGCUGCUUAUCAGCAAAUGGAAAUGUGAUUAUGUUUUAAAAGAAUGAAUUAUCGCGUACCCAAGUUCUUUCAUGAAUCUCUUUCUCAUGCCAAGAGUCUAUUUCAUCUGUUGUAUUCUCAAAGUAGCAUCUUCGCUUCUCAGUUUGCU
RNAcentral lists this long non-coding RNA (923 nucleotides) under Capsicum annuum. RNAcentral's name for it is "long non-coding RNA (CANN_LNC007861)". The record is from RNAcentral. Lineage: Eukaryota; Viridiplantae; Streptophyta; Magnoliopsida; Solanales; Solanaceae.